CAAAAGGUUAACUUUGGUUGGAAUUUUAUAAAUCUUUAUAAAGGGCGCUAAAUAAAAAUCUUGGUAAAAAAAGUAAGGACGUCGCGCGACGAAACGUUGUAAGAAGGCAUCGGCCUGUGAUCUACAAAUAUCCUGUUAAGAAAACUUUCGUUGUAUAGUAAAUAAAUAAUGUGAAUUGAAUCAUCUUAGUAACAUUAAAAAUAAAUCAAACGAGAUACCGUGAAUAGUGGCGAAUUAAAACGGUUUAGGCUUUUAUUAAUUAAAAUAAUCUUUGAAUUCAUUAAACUUUAAAAGGUAUUAGUCCUGUAAAAGAAAAAUUUUUAUUAACGUUAAGAAGUAACACGAACCCUAUUGUGAGAAAAUAGGAGGACCACCUUCUAAGCCAAAAAGACUUUUUUUAACCGAUAGUGAACGAGUACCGUGAGGGAAAGAUGAAAAAUACCGUAAGGGUUAGCUUUAUUUUAUACAAAAUAAGCUACUUUGAAAUUAAGUGUCUAAUUUAUUUUUGAAACUUCAAUGUAUUUGAAGCAACAAAGUGCCUUUUGCAUAAUGAGUAGCUUAAGCCGUUAGGUGUAGGCGCAGCGAAAGCGAGUCUGAAUAGGGCGCUAAGUUCGACGUAUGACGACCCGAAACUAGGUGAUCUAUCCAUGAGCAGGAUGAAGGUUGGGUAACACCAACUGGAGGUCCGAACCCGUGAAUGUUGAAAAAUUCUGGGAUGACUUGUGGAUAGGGGUGAAAGGCCAAUCAAACCUGGACAUAGCUGGUUCUCCGCGAAAUCUAUUUAGGUAGAGCGUCGGACGAAUUCCCUGGGGGGUAGAGCACUGGAUGGUUGCGGGCUGCGCGAGUGGUACCAAACUAACCAAACUCCGUUUAACUUCGAACUAUAAUUUAAUUUUAUUGGCAGACAGUCUUUGAGCGAUAAGGUCCAAAGACGAGAGGGAAACAACCCAGACCAUUUAUUAAGAUCUUUAAAUUAUAACUCAGUGGGAAAAAUUUUCAUCAAAUCAAAUAAAAUAUGGAUAGGCUUAGAAGCAGCUUUUCAUUGGAGAAAGCGUUUUAGCUCAUUAUUUCUUUGCUGAGAAUUUAAGAUAAACGAGGCUCCAAGUUAUAUAUCGAAAUAAUGGAUUAAAUCCAAAUUUAAUGGUAGUGAAACAUUCUGUAUAUUUAUUAUUAACGGUAAGUUAGUAAAAUGGAAAUCAGAAGUGCUAAUGCUGACAUGAGUAACGAAAACUACGUAUAAAAAUCGUAGUCACCUAUUGCUUAAGGUUUUCAACGUAAUUUCAAGAACGUUGAGUUAGUCGGUCCUUAAAAGGAGAGUUAAAGCUGUACUUGAUAGGAAUUUUUACCAGUUGCAUACAUAUCUUUAUAUGUGCAAAAGUUCUAGUUAUUUAUUAUAAUUUUUUAUAGGUUUAAAAUUAUAUUAAUAAAAAACUUCAAGAAAAAACUGCAACAUAAAUUGACCGUACCUAAACCAACACAGGUGAGCUAGUUGAAAAUACAAAGGUGGAUGAGUAAAUUAAGUUGAAGGAACUCGGCAAAUUUACUCUGUAAGUUCGCAAUAAAGAGUGUCGCAACCCGAUGACACAAAAUAGAAGGCAACGACUGGUUACCAAAACCACAGGACUCUGCUAAUUAUGAAAUAAGACGUAUAGAGUCUGACACCUGCCCGGUGCUUGAAGGUGAUCAAAUAUGAGUUAUUGCUUGUAUUUUAAUCCCAAGUAAACGGCGGUUCUAACUAUAAGAAUCCUAAGGUAGCGAAAUUCCUUGUCGGGUAAGUUCCGACCUGCACGAAUGGCGUAACGAUUGCCUUGCUGUCUCCAACUUAAUCUCAGUGAAAUUACAUAACCUAUGAAAAUGUAGGUAACCUGCAGUAAGACGGAAAGACCCUAGAUCCUUUACUUUAGUUUUAUAUUGAAAAAAUUGAUAUUUUAUAUAGAAUAAGUGGGAGUAUUAAAUAUACACAAGUUAAAUACCACUUUUAGUGUCAAGUUUUUCUAUAUUUAAAUUAAUACAUUUAAAAACAGUAUAAAAUGGGAAGUUUACUUGGGACGAGUACCUCCUAAAAUGUAACGGAGGUGUACAGAAGAUAAGUUACAGCUAUUUAAAACAAAUAGUAAAGCGUAUAAUGGCAAUAAACUUGUUUGACAGUUAGAUUGAUAAAUCGUACUGAGACGUAAGUCGGUCAUAGUGAUCCGGUGAAAGUAAGUGGAAGUAUCACCGCUCAACAGUUAAAAGGAACUCUAGGGAUAACAGAUUCAUCAUGGCUGAGAGUUCUUAUCGACGGCAUGGUUUGGCACCUCGAUGUCGGCUCAUCACAUCCUGGGGCUGGAGUAGGUCCCAAGGGUCUGGCUGUUCGCCAGUUAAAGAGGUACGUGAGCUGGGUUCAGAACGUCGUGAGACAGUUCGGUCCCUAUCUGCUGUAGGUUCGAAAAGAGAAAGAGUUAUUUUUAGUACGAGAGGACCAAAAUAUAUUAACCACUUGUGUACUGAUUGUUAUUACCGAUAGCAACGUCAGGUAGCUACGUUAGUUGUGUUUAUGUACUGAAAGAAUCAAUAGUACGAAAACAUUCUUAUUUCUUUUCAGGAAUAAUCUAAAAGAUUAUUAGAUAGAUCGGUUUAGUAUAAAUAUUUAGUAAUAAAAUAUUAUUUAUAAAUACGAAUUAUUCAUUAAAGAUUUAUAAAACCCA
This 2687-nucleotide ribosomal RNA is filed under the name Balbiania investiens. RNAcentral's name for it is "large subunit ribosomal RNA". It matches the Rfam family "Bacterial large subunit ribosomal RNA". Lineage: Eukaryota; Rhodophyta; Florideophyceae; Balbianiales; Balbianiaceae. The record is from RNAcentral.